This 465-nucleotide ribosomal RNA is filed under the name Vreelandella stevensii. Its description in RNAcentral is "partial 16S ribosomal RNA". It matches the Rfam family "Bacterial small subunit ribosomal RNA", at positions 338 to 795 of the family's 1533-position model. Lineage: Bacteria; Pseudomonadati; Pseudomonadota; Gammaproteobacteria; Oceanospirillales; Halomonadaceae. The record is from RNAcentral.
CCUACGGGGGGCAGCAGUGGGGAAUAUUGGACAAUGGGGGGAACCCUGAUCCAGCCAUGCCGCGUGUGUGAAGAAGGCCCUCGGGUUGUAAAGCACUUUCAGUGAGGAAGAACGCCUGGUGGUUAAUACCCAUCAGGAAAGACAUCACUCACAGAAGAAGCACCGGCUAACUCCGUGCCAGCAGCCGCGGUAAUACGGAGGGUGCGAGCGUUAAUCGGAAUUACUGGGCGUAAAGCGCGCGUAGGUGGCUUGAUAAGCCGGUUGUGAAAGCCCCGGGCUCAACCUGGGAACGGCAUCCGGAACUGUCAAGCUAGAGUGCAGGAGAGGAAGGUAGAAUUCCCGGUGUAGCGGUGAAAUGCGUAGAGAUCGGGAGGAAUACCAGUGGCGAAGGCGGCCUUCUGGACUGACACUGACGCUGAGGUGCGAAAGCGUGGGUAGCAAACAGGAUUAGAUACCCCGGUAGUC